UCUCUGGGUGGCGAGUGGCGGACGGGUGAGGAAUACAUCGGAAUGUACCCUUUAGUGGGGGAUAACGUAGGGAAAGUUACGCUAAUACCGCAUACGACCUUCGGGUGAAAGCAGGGGACCUUCGGGCCUUGCGCUCAUGGAUGAGCCGAUGUCGGAUUAGCUAGUUGGCGGGGUAAAGGCUCACCAAGGCGACGAUCAGUAGCUGGUCUGAGAGGAUGAUCAGCCACACUGGAACUGAGACACGGUCCAGACUCCUACGGGAGGCAGCAGUGGGGAAUAUUGGACAAUGGGCGCAAGCCUGAUCCAGCCAUACCGCGUGGGUGAAGAAGGCCUUCGGGUUGUAAAGCCCUUUUGUCUGGGAAAGAAAAGCA
RNAcentral lists this ribosomal RNA (371 nucleotides) under Stenotrophomonas rhizophila. Its description in RNAcentral is "bacterial SSU rRNA". It matches the Rfam family "Bacterial small subunit ribosomal RNA", at positions 81 to 455 of the family's 1533-position model. Lineage: Bacteria; Pseudomonadati; Pseudomonadota; Gammaproteobacteria; Lysobacterales; Lysobacteraceae. The record is from RNAcentral.